This 331-nucleotide unclassified non-coding RNA is filed under the name Lysobacter enzymogenes. Its description in RNAcentral is "Long range pseudoknot". The record is from RNAcentral. Lineage: Bacteria; Pseudomonadati; Pseudomonadota; Gammaproteobacteria; Lysobacterales; Lysobacteraceae.
ACCGACGAGGGCGACUACCAGAUCAAGCUGCGCAACAUGCGCCGUUUCCUGGAAGAGGGCGACAAGGUCAAGGUCAACAUCCGCUUCCGCGGCCGCGAAAUGAGCCAUCAGGAGCUCGGUCGCGAAAUGGCGGCGCGGAUCGAGGCCGACCUGGGCGAGGACAUCGUGGUCGAGUCGCGUCCGCGCCUGGAAGGGCGGCAGAUGGUCAUGAUGAUCGCGCCCAAGAAGAAGACCUGAGCCGGGUCCUUCCCCGCCCGCGGGGAGGCCCCAGGCGCGGUCGGGGCAGGGAGCUUGGCUCCCAAUCCCCUGAUUUGCCUGAAGAUAUUUGCAA